This 268-nucleotide long non-coding RNA is filed under the name Eutrema salsugineum. RNAcentral's name for it is "long non-coding RNA (ESAL_LNC002155)". Lineage: Eukaryota; Viridiplantae; Streptophyta; Magnoliopsida; Brassicales; Brassicaceae. The record is from RNAcentral.
GAGAUACAAUGAAAACAACGACCCUGUCUCUGCUCUGAUCUAUAACCCGUUUGUCCCAUGGGUCGGACACGUGGCGGAAGAGUUCAACAUUCUCUACGCAGUUCUCUGGAUCCAGUCUUGUGCCGUUUUCUCUGCUUAUUACCAUUACCUAAACGGCUCUGUUUCUUUCCCGACCAAAACAGAGCCUAAGCUCGACGUGAAGCUCCCUUGCGCUCCUGUCUUGAAAUACGACGAGAUCCCAACUUUUCUCCAUCCUUCUUCUUCUCAC